ACGGAAGGCAGCAGUGGGGAAUAUUGCACAAUGGGGGAAACCCUGAUGCAGCGAUGCCGCGUGGAGGAAGAAGGUUUUCGGAUUGUAAACUCCUGUCUUAAAGGACGAUAAUGACGGUACUUUAGGAGGAAGCUCCGGCUAACUACGUGCCAGCAGCCGCGGUAAUACGUAGGGAGCGAGCGUUGUCCGGAAUUACUGGGUGUAAAGGGAGCGUAGGCGGGAUUGCAAGUCAGAUGUGAAAUACAGGGGCUCGACCUCUGGGCUGCAUUUGAAACUGUAGUUCUUGAGUGAAGUAGAGGUAAGCGGAAUUCCUGGUGUAGCGGUGAAAUGCGUAGAUAUCAGGAGGAACACCGGUGGCGAAGGCGGCUUACUGGGCUUUUACUGACGCUGAGGCUCGAAAGCGUGGGGAGCAAACAGGAUUAGAUACCCUGGUA
RNAcentral lists this ribosomal RNA (434 nucleotides) under uncultured Ruminococcus sp. RNAcentral describes it as "partial 16S ribosomal RNA". It matches the Rfam family "Bacterial small subunit ribosomal RNA", at positions 341 to 792 of the family's 1533-position model. The record is from RNAcentral. Lineage: Bacteria; Bacillati; Bacillota; Clostridia; Eubacteriales; Oscillospiraceae.